RNAcentral lists this non-coding RNA (27 nucleotides) under Bombyx mori (domestic silkworm). The record is from RNAcentral. Lineage: Eukaryota; Metazoa; Arthropoda; Insecta; Lepidoptera; Bombycidae.
UAUUGUAUUAUAUUUUGCCGAAAUAGA